RNAcentral lists this transfer RNA (132 nucleotides) under Rattus norvegicus (Norway rat). The record is from Rfam by way of RNAcentral. Lineage: Eukaryota; Metazoa; Chordata; Mammalia; Rodentia; Muridae.
GGGGAUUUAGCUCAGUGGUAGAGCACUUGCCUAGCAAGCACAAGGCCCUGGGUUUGGUCCUCAGCUCCGGAAAAAAAAAAAAAAAAGGAGCACCACCACCUGAUCUGCCAGAGGUCCUGAGUUCAAUCCCCA